Molecule: ribosomal RNA, 439 nt
Filed under: Theileria capreoli
Lineage: Eukaryota; Apicomplexa; Aconoidasida; Piroplasmida; Theileriidae
Description: SSU rRNA
Rfam family: Eukaryotic small subunit ribosomal RNA
Source: RNAcentral
UUGGAGGGCAGUCUGGUGCCAGCAGCCGCGGUAAUUCCAGCUCCAAUAGCGUAUAUUAAAAUUGUUGCAGUUAAAAAGCUCGUAGUUGAAUUUCUGCUGCAUUGCAUUUUCUCCUAUACGAGUUUUUGCAUUGUGGCUUAUUUCGGUUAUAAAAUUUAUUUUAUUUCCGGAUGUUUACUUUGAGAAAAUUAGAGUGCUCAAAGCAGGCUUUUGCCUUGAAUAGUUUAGCAUGGAAUAAUAAAGUAGGACUUUGGUUCUAUUUUGUUGGUUUUAGGUACCAAAGUAAUGGUUAAUAGGAACAGUUGGGGGCAUUCGUAUUUAACUGUCAGAGGUGAAAUUCUUAGAUUUGUUAAAGACGAACUACUGCGAAAGCAUUUGCCAAGGAUGUUUUCAUUAAUCAAGAACGAAAGUUAGGGGAUCGAAGACGAUCAGAUACCGU